AACGAACGCUGGCGGCAUGCCUAACACAUGCAAGUCGAACGAGACCUUCGGGUCUAGUGGCGCACGGGUGCGUAACGCGUGGGAACCUGCCCUUAGGUUCGGAAUAACUCCCAGAAAGGGGUGCUAAUACCGGAUAAUGUCUUCGGACCAAAGAUUUAUCGCCUUUGGAUGGGCCCGCGUGGGAUUAGCUAGUUGGUAGGGUAAAAGCCUACCAAGGCGCGGAUCAGUAGCUGGUUUGAGAGGAUGAUCAGCCACACUGGGACUGAGAAACGGCCCAGACUCCUACGGGAGGCAGCAGUGGGGAAUAGUGGACAAUGGGCGAAAGCCUGAUCCAGCAAUGCCGCGUGAGUGAUGAAGGCCUUAGGGUUGUAAAGCUCUUUUACCCGGGAUGAUAAUGACAGUACCGGGAGAAUAAGCUCCGGCUAACUCCGUG
Molecule: ribosomal RNA, 433 nt
Filed under: uncultured bacterium
Lineage: Bacteria
Description: partial 16S ribosomal RNA
Rfam family: Bacterial small subunit ribosomal RNA
Source: RNAcentral